Molecule: long non-coding RNA, 394 nt
Organism: Mirounga angustirostris (Northern elephant seal)
Lineage: Eukaryota; Metazoa; Chordata; Mammalia; Carnivora; Phocidae
Exons: 3
Source: RefSeq, a predicted model, not a curated record
GAUUGGUGUUGGGAAAAGAAUAGGGAACAUAAGAAUUGGGGGGGGGGGAUGAUGGAAACCUGGAGAGAGUCCAGAGAUGUCAGCAUGGAGAAAAGGGGAAAGGAAGCCAGAUUGUCAGCCAGCCAGCCAUUUCCAGUCUUCAGCCUGAAGCCAGCACCCCCACCAGUCCACCACCAUUGUCUUCUUCUGGGCUGUCUCCCUGGCCCCACACCAAGCAGCAACAUCUCCCAGGACAAAGGACACCAAGACACUGGCUCUGCUGUCCAGGUUCACCAACUUCCUGGUGCUCCAUCUUCUCUCCCCUCACACGGACUACAGUAAGACUCUUCAGACACAACAACGCACUGUGAUUCAGACUUUAAUGGUGGUGCUCAUUUCCACGCCACAGAGGGGG